AACGAACGCUGGCGGCAUGCCUAACACAUGCAAGUCGAACGAGACCUUCGGGUCUAGCGGCGCACGGGUGCGUAACGCGUGGGAACCUGCCCUUAGGUUCGGAAUAACUCCCCGAAAGGGGUGCUAAUACCGGAUAAUGUCUUCGGACCAAAGAUUUAUCGCCUUUGGAUGGGCCCGCGUUGGAUUAGCUAGUUGGUAGGGUAAAAGCCUACCAAGGCGACGAUCCAUAGCUGGUCUGGGAGGAUGAUCAGCCACACUGGGACUGAGACACGGCCCAGACUCCUACGGGAGGCAGCAGUGGGGAAUAUUGGACAAUGGGCGAAAGCCUGAUCCAGCAAUGCCGGGUGAGUGAUGAAGGCCUUAGGGUUGUAAAGCUCUUUUACCCGGGAUGAUAAUGACGGUACCGGGAGAAUAAGCUCCGGCUAACUCCGUG
RNAcentral lists this ribosomal RNA (433 nucleotides) under uncultured bacterium. Its description in RNAcentral is "partial 16S ribosomal RNA". It matches the Rfam family "Bacterial small subunit ribosomal RNA", at positions 29 to 507 of the family's 1533-position model. The record is from RNAcentral.